GGUGUCAUGGUCAGGCCUUGGUCCUGCCAUGACUGACCCUGAACCGAGCAGCGGUCGAGACCGAGCUGGCGGGAAAGUGGUUCUAAGGAAUGAAGGCGUGCAUUCGGAGCUUUGGAACAUGAUGCUAACAUGUUGUAGGGGCAAUGGGAGCCCCGGGCCGCAAGAUACGCGGGGAAGUUCGGGACAAUGGUCGGACACCUUUAAGCCAAGUAUCCUGGCGGGUGCCAUUAGUGGAAGCAAUGUGCGGGCACCUUCGAGUGGGUUGGUGGAGCAGCGAGCAGUAUCAAGGAGCAAUGGUGACCAAAGGGAAGGUUACGGGGCCCUGAGUUAGCCGGAGAAAGACCCCGACAUGACUGGGCAGAAAAGUGUCCCCGUUUCAGACAUUCUUACGGUCACUGGUAGCGUAUUGGGAAAAUCUCUAACGCUCUUUAUAGGGGGAUGAUUUGGUGUCAGCUCUCCACCACCCCCUUGGCUAGCGGGCAGGCGGGGGCCUGGCUAGUCUGAAGUGAGCUACUCCUAGGCACUCGUGGUGUCUAGGUGGGCGGGCAUCGUAGGGUCACGAGCGUGGCACGAUGUUUUCUCGGGUAAGGUAAACCCGGGGACGGUUGGGGCCGGCGGGCCUCGUAUCGCGCCUUUGCAUUGAGACAGGGGGUUGGACGGUAGAAUCCGUUAUGCCCCUCGGUUUCCCCUCCUCGAGCCGGAAGGAUCAUGUGAUGGUGUUUACGUAUGAGGGAUGCCAUCGAGAAAAAGGGGCGUGCGGACUAGCGGGUAGGCAUGCUGCUAGACCCCUGCGGCCAGUCGGGAUGGUGUGCUGCCACUGGGGCAGUCCACCCAAGUCCCCUUGCGGGACCAGCAUGAUGUAGGGUGUCAAUCAUGCGUGCGGGUAGUCGAUACUGUUGCUAAGGGCCUGAGCCCUAAGAACCGAGUCUCGUGGGACGAAAUGAGCUUAGAGGCUCCGAGCUGGGCUGUUGACCAGCUUAGGUGGGGUGCUGGCGUAAACUCAAUAUAGGAGCCUGCGAAUGAUGCGGGCGGGCAUGAUGUUGGGUUCGCACCAUGUCAAGAGGCCUCAAGGCCAUGAGAACUGGGACUAUGCAUCCCUAUGAGCAUUCGAGGAUCGUGGACUGGAAUAGGGUUGUCCGCGACGAAAAUGGGCACGAUAGAAGGCUGACCUUGACUAGGAUUAGUCUUGGUGCCAACAACGGACGCGUGGUUUCAAUAGAAGGAACGCGCGGACCGUGACACUUGGUAUCAGAGCCUAGGUUGGCUCAGUGGCGAGAGUUACGCGACCCCAUGUGUGGGUCUGGUGAUGCGAAAUUACGGUGAAAGGAACCGUAGUGAGACCGAGAUCCGAAAAGGGUCUUACACCAUGAAAUGGUGUUGUGUCAGGCCACGUGGGCCGAGUGAAUCUUGUCCUGAGGGGCAGGAGGCGUCGAGUUGCAAGAUUAAUUACUAAUGUGUGCACUUGAUGUAUGGUGCAGGUGCCCCAGCGGGGGUGCAAGCCGAAGUAUUCGGGUCCAAGCAUAAGACUACGACACAGAAGAGUAUGAAGUGGCUGAAGAUUGAAGCCACAAGCGAGAUGGUCAGUGGACCAUGAGCUGCGUUGGUCAGUGGACCGUGAGUUCUUGUGGUCAGAGGAUCACGAGAGUGUGUGUGUGAACCAGGAUAUUGAACUUGUAUUGGCCGAAAGGGAAGGCUUCACGAGUAGUGGUGGUCAGUGGGCCACGACAGGAUGUUUUCCAGUGGAACAAGAAAGGGAAAACGGCCAGUUGACAAGGCCUCAGUCGUGCAAGUCAGUGGACCUUGAGGAUCGAGCGGGUGAAUCCCCGAGUCAAACAAAUCAGUGGGCUAGAAGUGCUGGUAGAUCAGUGGGUCUCCGAGUAUAAGCGGAUUUUGGGACGCCCUAGGAACUGGGCUGGAAUCAAAACUAUCGAGCAAUAGAACCAUCGAGGAGACAGGGUUGCGCAUAAUGCUGUGCCGAGUUUCCAGUAAAAGUGGGGGAGACCUAUCAAUUCCCCCCCCGAGACUGAGCCAAGAUAAAGGAGCUUGGGCGAUGGAGCAUAGUGUUCAAGCCGGGGGCAAAGACUGAAUUAGCACGCUUUAAGGUGCCGUCUUGGGGGCGGUUGGCCUGAGGGCCACACCUAGAGAGGUGACCUUGGAGGGGCCGAGAGGACCCAAGUUGGGAGAUGACCAAGGUGCUUGAAUGCCACUAUGCUAGGGUCAUCAUAUAGGGUGCCGUAUGAGUGCGGUUGACCUAAGCAUCACGUCCAGAGGGGCGCAUCAGUGAGUUGAUGCUGCAAGCGUGCAGUUGGUGUGAGGGGUCACGUCCGGUGGGACGCACCAAAUGAGUGGCAAAGCGGUGGUCAUUCAUUCUACUGAGGGUCAUUGAUCAAUGAGGGCACCUCGAGGUCGCAACCUGACAAUGAUCAAGGGAUGAAGCCAUGGUAUGACCCAUAUGAAUACAACCAAGAUAGGUUAGGCGGUUCGAACUACAACAAAGCUGAGCAACAAUGGGACCAAUCUACACCAACAAUGGACGAGUACUGUGCCUGGUGGCUCAUGUGACGGGACCUCGACCCAAUCCUUGAGAGCACCAGUGAGAGACAUAUGAGGAAAUGUCAGCUGUGUGCAACAGGAUAGUUGGGUGUGGUCUUGGCGUCGAUGAGGGCAUCGACAUAGUAAGUGGGGGAGAGUGUCAUGGUCAGGCCUUGGUCCUGCCAUGACUGACCCUGAACCGAGCAGCGGUCGAGACCGAGCUGGCGGGAAAGUGGUUCUAAGGAAUGAAGGCGUGCAUUCGGAGCUUUGGAACAUGAUGCUAACAUGUUGUAGGGGCAAUGGGAGCCCCGGGCCGCAAGAUACGCGGGGAAGUUCGGGACAGUGGUCGGACACCUUCAAGCCAAGUAUCCUGGCGGGUGCCAUUAGUGGAAGCAAUGUGCGGACACCUUCGAGUGGGUUGGUGGAGCAGCGAGCAGUAUCAAGGAGCAAUGGUGACCAAAGGGAAGGUUACGGGGCCCUGAGUUAGCCGGAGAAAGACCCCGACAUGACUGGGCAGAAAAGUGUCCCCGUUUCAGACAUUCUUACGGUCACUGGUAGCGUAUUGGGAAAAUCUCUAACGCUCUUUAUAGGGGGAUGAAUUUGGUGUCAGCUCUCCACCACCCCCUUGGCUAGCGGGCAGGCGGGGGCCUGGCUAGUCUGAAGUGAGCUACUCCUAGGCACUCGUGGUGUCUAGGUGGGCGGGCAUCGUAGGGUCACGAGCGUGGCACGAUGUUUUCUCGGGUAAGGUAAACCCGGGGACGGUUGGGGCCGGCGGGCCUCGUAUCGCGCCUUUGCAUUGAGACAGGGGGUUGGACGGUAGAAUCCGUUAUGCCCCUCGGUUUCCCCUCCUCGAGCCGGAAGGAUCAUGUGAUGGUGUUUACGUAUGAGGGAUGCCAUCGAGAAAAAGGGGCGUGCGGGCUAGCGGGUAGGCAUGCUGCUAGACCCCUGCGGCCAGUCGGGAUGGUGUGCUGCCACUGGGGCAGUCCACCCAAGUCCCCUUGCGGGACCAGCAUGAUGUAGGGUGUCAAUCAUGCGUGCGGGCAGUCGAUACUGUUGCUAAGGGCCUGAGCCCUAAGAACCGAGUCUCGUGGGACGAAAUGAGCCUAGAGGCUCCGAGCUGGGCUGCUGACCAGCUUAGGUGGGGUGCUGGCGUAAACUCAAUAUAGGAGCCUGCGAAUGAUGCGGGCGGGCAUGAUGUUGGGUUCGCACCAUGUCAAGAGGCCUCAAGGCCAUGAGAACUGGGACUAUGCAUCCCUAUGAGCAUUCGAGGAUCGUGGACUGGAAUAGGGUUGUCCGCGACGAAAAAUGGGCACGAUAGAAGGCUGACCUUGACUAGGAUUAGUCUUGGUGCCACACGGACGCGUGGUUUCAAUAG
RNAcentral lists this long non-coding RNA (3907 nucleotides) under Durio zibethinus. RNAcentral's name for it is "long non-coding RNA (DZIB_LNC000898)". Lineage: Eukaryota; Viridiplantae; Streptophyta; Magnoliopsida; Malvales; Malvaceae. The record is from RNAcentral.